Molecule: ribosomal RNA, 421 nt
Filed under: Fusobacterium periodonticum
Lineage: Bacteria; Fusobacteriati; Fusobacteriota; Fusobacteriia; Fusobacteriales; Fusobacteriaceae
Description: bacterial SSU rRNA
Rfam family: Bacterial small subunit ribosomal RNA
Source: RNAcentral
GAUGAACGCUGACAGAAUGCUUAACACAUGCAAGUCAACUUGAACUUCGGUUUGGGUGGCGGACGGGUGAGUAACGCGUAAAGAACUUGCCUCACAGAUAGGGACAACAUUUGGAAACGAAUGCUAAUACCUGAUAUUAUGAUUUUAGGGCAUCCUAGAAUUAUGAAAGCUAUAUGCGCUGUGAGAGAGCUUUGCGUCCCAUUAGCUAGUUGGAGAGGUAACGGCUCACCAAGGCGAUGAUGGGUAGCCGGCCUGAGAGGGUGAUCGGCCACAAGGGGACUGAGACACGGCCCUUACUCCUACGGGAGGCAGCAGUGGGGAAUAUUGGACAAUGGACCAAGAGUCUGAUCCAGCAAUUCUGUGUGCACGAUGAAGUUUUUCGGAAUGUAAAGUGCUUUCAGUUGGGAAGAAAAAAAUGACG